CCUACGGGUGGCUGCAGUGGGGAAUAUUGGACAAUGGGCGAAAGCCUGAUCCAGCCAUGCCGCGUGUGUGAAGAAGGCCUUCGGGUUGUAAAGCACUUUCAGUGGGGAAGAAAGCCUUGGGGCUAAUACCCUCGAGGAAGGACAUCACCCACAGAAGAAGCACCGGCUAACUCCGUGCCAGCAGCCGCGGUAAUACGGAGGGUGCGAGCGUUAAUCGGAAUUACUGGGCGUAAAGCGCGCGUAGGCGGUCUGAUAAGCCGGUUGUGAAAGCCCCGGGCUCAACCUGGGAACGGCAUCCGGAACUGUCAGGCUAGAGUGCAGGAGAGGAAGGUAGAAUUCCCGGUGUAGCGGUGAAAUGCGUAGAGAUCGGGAGGAAUACCAGUGGCGAAGGCGGCCUUCUGGACUGACACUGACGCUGAGGUGCGAAAGCGUGGGUAGCAAAUAGGAUUAGAUACCCUGGUAGUC
This 465-nucleotide ribosomal RNA is filed under the name Vreelandella stevensii. Its description in RNAcentral is "partial 16S ribosomal RNA". It matches the Rfam family "Bacterial small subunit ribosomal RNA", at positions 338 to 795 of the family's 1533-position model. The record is from RNAcentral. Lineage: Bacteria; Pseudomonadati; Pseudomonadota; Gammaproteobacteria; Oceanospirillales; Halomonadaceae.